This is a non-coding RNA of Cyanistes caeruleus (blue tit), 1217 nucleotides long. The record is from RefSeq and is a predicted model, not a curated record. Lineage: Eukaryota; Metazoa; Chordata; Aves; Passeriformes; Paridae.
AACAAAACAACUGGUUCCCAGCAAGAAAGCUUCAACUGGAAAUGCAGAACAUACGGAAGAGCUGCCUACACCUUUGUGGUUCUCUUAAGACUUGAAAAGGAAUGUUGAUUAUCAGUGACUGUGGUAAACCAAGAUAGUUUCUGAAGAGUGAAUGUGCUUAGUUGUCUUCAGCUUGGUUCCUUCCUGCACUUAUUCUCAGGUCAUGAGCUGAAAAAUAUCAAAGCUAUUAUGUCAAGUGAAUUUAUGACCACCUUAAAAAGUUCAGUUGAAAUUCAGAACACUGCAGCUAAUGAGUGAAUUACAGUGGAAUGGCUGCUGAAAAUUUUCCAGGAGAAGUGUAACCAAGAGGAAAUACUGUUUGAAAAGAAAUAUUUUGCCCUUUCAUGUGGAUUCUCACACUCUUUGUAUGUGUCUUGCCUGUGGAAGCAGCAAAGUGGACUGCAGCAGCACUUUCUUCCCCUCUGGCUUCUUGUUUCUGCCCUGCAGCAGCUCCUAAUUAUGACCAAGCAGGACUUUUAUCACCCAGGAGUCCAUCCUCCCUAAGGGAAUCUACAGAAGGAAUAAACUUCAUAGAAGGUUCCAGAGAUCAGAGAGAUCUAGGACUACUGGAUUAAUUUGUAAAAUGAGAAAUGUGAUUCUGUAUGUGAUUCACAGGUAGAAUUUGUUAAGUUGUAUGUGGCUUUCUCCAGUUUGUAGUCAAUGGGAAAACAUCAGUUUGCUAUUGACUAACACUGCAACAGAAAUUUUUGAUAGCAAACAACAGGUGUCAAGUGCUGGCAUUUUGCAGCAGGCAUCACUUUCCCCUGGUGCAAAGGACACUAAAAAAGACAGUACACAGAGAAUCCAGCCUGUGGAUACUGAAGAUCAGCAAGUAUAACCAUAAGACUUCACUGGAGGUGUUUGGCUCUGGCCCAUGUUAAAGGCUGACACAGACACAUGAUUUAGGCGAUUCAAACCUCAGGUAGAAAACUUUUAUAUGGGGAAGUGUAUGUAUACAUCACAGGAUCAGUCCAAACAUCCAUCUAUCCUCUCCUUGGCAGUGGUACAUAUACCACACUUUAAACAAAGAGUGCUUCCUGGGCUCCCUGCAUCACAUGUGUGUGCUUGGCAGCACCAUCUUGGGUGUGUUUUACCUGGGCUGUUCCAGGCCUCUUCCCAUCUCCCCAGCAGCUUUUCUCACUGAAUUAUCACCAUAUUUGCAAUUACCACAGUUAUCU